ACCUACCUAUAUAACGAACUAGUGUGUGCCUAUGUAUCAAAUACAGAGUUAUAGCCGGCAAGACAAGACGCGAUGAGUUGAUUAAUGUAGUGUGUUUUUCGUUUUUAAAUUUGUAAUAAUGUUUUGAUGAAGACAAUUUUAAAAGAAUAUUUCGUUAAGUAAAAGUAUGAUAUAAGUGAAUACUGCUUGAAAAUCGUAACCGUGACGAUGAGCAAACACCAAGAAAUGGAGUGUCCACCGGCUGCCAACUUUGAUGCGGACGAAGACGAAUGGAAGAAAAUGAGCUUAACGUCAAAAGCAGCCUUCGUGGCCCGGAACGUGUCGGUAGAACCGAUGCUGGGCGUGUUCCAGCUUUCCAUGAUCAUGUCCAGUUUGACCACACAAAAUCUGAACAUGCAAAAGGCUUGCCGAGUGAACUUAAAUCUGGACCAGACGGUGUGCUUUGCCCUGGAGAACAAAAACGCCACAUCUUUCCCGGCCGAAGAGGUGGCAGUGCAGAAAAUGGUGACCAAGAUGAUGUUAUGGCAAAACCUCUUCCAGAACAUAAUACCGUGUGUUCUGGUGAUGUUCGUCGGUUCGUGGAGCGACCGGAACCGGAAGCGGAAGCCGUUCAUGCUGUUGCCAAUAAUCGGCGAGCUUGUGCGCAAUAUCGGCUUAAUUGCUUGCGUGUACUUCUUCUACGAGUUGCCGAUGGAGAUAGCAGGUAUUGUCGAGACAGUCCCAUCUGCUGUUUCCGGUGGUCUUCCGGUACUGAUACUAGCCGUGUUCGCGUACGUGGGGGAUAUAAGCACAGUUAAAAAUAGGACAGUUCGAGUUGGGUUUGUAAGUUUAUUUUUUUCGAUCAGUGUCACUUUUGGAUCAGCAUUAUCCGGCAUCGUGUUUCGAGAUUAUGGUUUUUACGGCGUGUACAUUAUAUCCACUGCAUUGUAUUUAUUCAGCUUCAUAUAUUGUUUAAUUGUCAUCAAAGAUAUUAAGCCCGAUGUAGAAAAAUGUCAUGGGCCCCAUAUUGCCGUUGAACAUUGCAAAAAAUCAUUUAUUCUCGAGAUAACCGAUUUCUUUGACUUGAAACAUGUAAAAGAAGCGAUUCGAGUUACCUUUAAGCGAAGAAAUGACGAUAACCGAAGAAACGACAUUAUACUGUUGUUCGUUAUCAUGGUCAUUAUUUUGGGUCCUCUGAGCGGUGAACAGACAUUGAUGUAUUUGUUGGUUCGAGUUAAAUUCGGUUGGAAUGAAGUAGACUUCAGUGUCUUCUCUACGUAUUACUUUAUUUGUAAUCUCGUAGGUAUUGGAUUUUCGUUGUGGAUUCUGGUUAAUCGUUUGGGCAUUGACGACAGACUGAUCGGAGCAAUUGGAUGUCUGAGCAAAGGACUGGCUUCCUUCGUUUACGCCUUUGCGCCGACCGAAUUUUUAUUCUACCUAGGUCCGAUUGUCGACAUUUUUCACGGUACAGCACUUGUUGCAUUUAGGGCGAUACUCUCAAAACUUGUUCCUGCAAAUCAACUAGGUCAAGCGUUGGCGGUAUCUUCACUCGUCGAAACUAUAAUUCCUGCAAUAUUUAGACCACUGUACAGUGUAAUUUAUUAUAAGACACUGCACAAUAUGCCUGGCGCAUUUUACGUAUUCGGAGGAGUGCUUAAUAUUUUCGGAAUCUUUGUUUUCAUAUGGAUGUACAAUCGUACACAACAGAAGAGCGUAAAAACGAAUGAUUCAGAAAUGCCAAAGUUGCAAAAAUGAUUUAACUCUAAAGUUUCACGUCACAAUGGAUACCCGCAAGAUUUUUAUACUUCCCUUAAUGUGAAAUAUAUAUAUAUUUUUGAUUAGAUCGAUGUACAAGAAAAAAAAACAAAAUGAAAAAUGUGAAUAUGUUGAAGAGAAACAGGCCUUAUCAGCAAAACCUAGAAGUGAGCAUCCAUAAAACCGCAUUGAAAUCUGUUAAAAUUAUUAAUAUUGUUUUUAAAUUAUUUUUACACGAAAAAUUGUUUUUAUUAAUUAUACUCUAUAAUAUAUUUUUAUUUUAUAUUAUUUUACUAGUAAAAUAUACUAUAUUUACUACUGCCAACCUAUUUUACUUGUAUAUUAUAAUUUAUAUUAGCUAAGUUUUACUUAUUACUGGAACCUAUUUUAGAGUGUUCAAAUUAAACUCUGUUGAGUGAGAAAACACGGUAAUUCUGCACAUUCUUACGUGAUAUUCCCCCAUUGAUAUCAGUUGCACUAUUGCAGGAUGUCUCGUGAGAAUGCGCAAAAAACCGAUUUUUUAUCUCGAUGGAGUAUAGACUACUUUAUGUAUUUCUUUUGGAAUAUUUUAUAAUUAUUAAAUUGGUACGGUUAUCAUAUAUUGUUAUUGUUAUAAAUAGAAACGCUUUAUGUAUAUUCAUAUAUUUUUUUUUAAAUUAAUAUAAGUUAUAUUAUAUAACCAUUUAUUAAAAAUAUAUUGAUAUUACAAAUA
Rhopalosiphum padi (bird cherry-oat aphid) is the source of this 2446-nucleotide RNA transcript. RefSeq lists it as uncharacterized. Lineage: Eukaryota; Metazoa; Arthropoda; Insecta; Hemiptera; Aphididae. The record is from RefSeq and is a predicted model, not a curated record. The transcript is spliced from 9 exons.